CUUUGGGAUAACCCUCGGAAACGGGGGCUAAUACCGGAUAUGACCUUCUGCCGCAUGGUGGGGGGUGGAAAGUUUUUCGGCCUGGGAUGGGCUCGCGGCCUAUCAGCUUGUUGGUGGGGUGAUGGCCUACCAAGGCGGUGACGGGUAGCCGGCCUGAGAGGGCGACCGGCCACACUGGGACUGAGACACGGCCCAGACUCCUACGGGAGGCAGCAGUGGGGAAUAUUGCACAAUGGGCGGAAGCCUGAUGCAGCGACGCCGCGUGAGGGAUGACGGCCUUCGGGUUGUAAACCUCUUUCAGCAGGGACGAAGCGUGAGUGACGGUACCUGCAGAAGAAGCGCCGGCCAACUACGUGCCAGCAGCCGCGGUAAGACGUAGGGCGCGAGCGUUGUCCGGAUUUAUUGGGCGUAAAGAGCUCGUAGGCGGCUUGUCGCGUCGACUGUGAAAACCCGCGGCUCAACUGCGGGCUUGCAGUCGAUACGGGCAGGCUAGAGUUCGGUAGGGGAGACUGGAAUUCCUGGUGUAGCGGUGAAAUGCGCAGAUAUCAGGAGGAACACCGGUGGCGAAGGCGGGUCUCUGGGCCGAUACUGACGCUGAGGAGCGAAAGCGUGGGGAGCGAACAGGAUUAGAUACCCUGGUAGUCCACGCUGUAAACGUUGGGCGC
This 665-nucleotide ribosomal RNA is filed under the name uncultured Micromonosporaceae bacterium. RNAcentral's name for it is "bacterial SSU rRNA". It matches the Rfam family "Bacterial small subunit ribosomal RNA", at positions 136 to 816 of the family's 1533-position model. Lineage: Bacteria; Bacillati; Actinomycetota; Actinomycetes; Micromonosporales; Micromonosporaceae. The record is from RNAcentral.